GCUUCUUUUAGCCUUGCAUCUCCAGUUUGGAAAUUCAUAUUAAACUUUAUUGGAACAGGACGUGAGUACAGUGUGUUGCUGAGAAGUUGGACUGUUCUUUAUAAUAGUCUUCUAAGAUGAAACUCAUGUCCCAGAUGGAAUUUCGAAUGUAGAAAUCUUUAAGGGGCAUUACAAUUCUGCAUACCCAGCUGUCUCACCACCAUCGCAAACCAAACAACUCAAGUCAUCUCCACCAUGGUAUCUGAAAUGCCUUCAAGAGGGAAUGCUGAUGUCACAGAUUACCUUCUGGAGAGCAAGAAUUCAUCGGGCUCUUGUGUCUUCUGAGUGUUUCUAGAAUGCAUGCUGUUUUCCUUGAAUUCAUUCUCCCAUCCAAGCCUAGAGGAGAGACUAAUGGCAUGGGAGCCCCAAACCUUCACAGAUGAUGCGGGACCCUGUAUGGACUAGGAGGUGGAGUGAGUGGCCUCUCUCUCUCUGAAGUCUCCAUCAGGCCAUUUAAAGGCUGUCGAUGCUUAUAUUGCCUCUGUGUCUUUGGAGGACUCAUUGCCUCUCCCCUAUUUAAGCAUUUUAGGUGUGUGAUUUAAGAUGUUUGGUGGGUUGGUCCCAGUAAAUUGCCCAUCCCAGGUUCACUUUGGUCACCAGUCCUAAUGUUGAUGAAAUAGACACUGUUUAUUGAGCUCCUAUUGUGUACGUGGGG
Molecule: long non-coding RNA, 694 nt
Filed under: Equus caballus (horse)
Lineage: Eukaryota; Metazoa; Chordata; Mammalia; Perissodactyla; Equidae
Description: lncRNA (ENSECAG00000037156.3)
Source: RNAcentral